Non-coding RNA from Procavia capensis (Cape rock hyrax), 69 nucleotides. Lineage: Eukaryota; Metazoa; Chordata; Mammalia; Hyracoidea; Procaviidae. The record is from Ensembl.
AUUCUUUUAGUACAAACCAGUACACCCGACUUCCAAUCAGGAAAUUUCAGACUAAUCUGAAAAAGAAUA